Molecule: transfer RNA, 70 nt
Filed under: Lophocebus aterrimus (Black crested mangabey)
Lineage: Eukaryota; Metazoa; Chordata; Mammalia; Primates; Cercopithecidae
Description: tRNA-Glu
Source: RNAcentral
GCUUUUAUAGUUGAAAUACAACGAUGGUUUUUUCAUAUCAUUGGUUAUGGUUAGAGUCCAUGUGGAAGCA